Molecule: ribosomal RNA, 470 nt
Filed under: uncultured bacterium
Lineage: Bacteria
Description: bacterial SSU rRNA
Rfam family: Bacterial small subunit ribosomal RNA
Source: RNAcentral
AUUGAACGCUGGCGGCAUGCCUAACACAUGCAAGUCGAACGGCAGCACGGGAGCUUGCUCUUGGUGGCGAGUGGCGGACGGGUGAGUAAUGCAUAGGAAUCUGCCCAGUAGCGGGGGACAACUUGGGGAAACUCAAGCUAAUACCGCAUGCGCCCUACGGGGGAAAGCGGGGGACCUUCGGGCCUCGCACUAUUGGAUGAGCCUAUGUCAGAUUAGCUUGUUGGUGGGGUAACGGCCUACCAAGGCGACGAUCUGUAGCUGGUCUGAGAGGACGAUCAGCCACACUGGGACUGAGACACGGCCCAGACUCCUACGGGAGGCAGCAGUGGGGAAUAUUGCACAAUGGGCGAAAGCCUGAUGCAGCAAUGCCGCGUGUGUGAAGAAGGCCUGCGGGUUGUAAAGCACUUUCAGUAGGGAGGAAACAGUAGCCGGUUAAUAUCCGGUUGCCUUGACGUUACCUACAGAAGAAG